Molecule: non-coding RNA, 204 nt
Filed under: Antarctobacter albus
Lineage: Bacteria; Pseudomonadati; Pseudomonadota; Alphaproteobacteria; Rhodobacterales; Roseobacteraceae
Also listed under: 1 other name
Source: RNAcentral
GCCACUUUGGCCGGUGAUGGUGACCGCGUCCGCGCGGUCUGAAAAGGGAACGCGGUGCGGGGCCAUGCCCCAAAUCCGCGACUGCCCCCGCAACUGUAAGCGGCGAGCCAUCCCGAAGUGACCACUGGGCCGCACGGCCCGGGAAGGUUCGGGACUGCGCCUUGACCCGCAAGUCAGGAGACCUGCCAUCGCCGGGCGCCCUGC